Molecule: long non-coding RNA, 537 nt
Organism: Zonotrichia leucophrys gambelii
Lineage: Eukaryota; Metazoa; Chordata; Aves; Passeriformes; Passerellidae
Exons: 3
Source: RefSeq, a predicted model, not a curated record
CAGGCAUUGAUUGGUGCAGGGUCUAUAGUUCAAGUAACCUGCCUUGGGGUGCCAGCAGAGUGGUAACCCAGUAAUAAAAAGCUUGAAGAGGCAGGAAUACUGUGCAGAGGAAAUGCUUUAAAAUGCUUUCUAUGACCAUGGCAACUCUGAACAGUUUUCUUCCUGUCAGUGAGCAUGGAGAAGACCUGGAGAACUCCAGAAUGGCCCAAUGAACCAAAGGGGACUACUGAAUAACAAACAGCAACCCAAAUCUCCUAAUUAUGUGGCAGAUUGUUUCCUUAGAAGAAAAACAAGCUUAAUGUGGAUACAAGAGGACUGGAAAACAACACAUCAAAAUUAUCCACAAAGAUGAGACAGCAAUUUCAUGACAGAAAAAGAAACUGAAGUAAAUGUUUUGGAACCCUGGUGCAGGAGGAGAAUUUUAGACCUUGAUUACCCAGUGCCUUGAAUUUACAGCCUUUCCAUUCCAGAAGCUUUAUUAGAGAAGCAAAGGUCUCAGUCUUUUCAUCUUGGAGGCUGUGAGGAAGGACUGCACAG